CUCUCUCUCCCCGUAUCCUUUCUCUCUUCUACCCUCUCUCUCUUCGGUAGCCUCCUCCUCCUCCACCACAAACCCAGUUGCAUCUUCCUCGACCUCAACGCUCCCUCCACCACAGACCCACGUUCUGGGGAGUUCACGGCGGUUCCUCUUUAUCUUUGUCCCAUCUUUUUCUCUGCCGCUGCCUUUUCCCUUAGCCUUCCCCCUCAUCCUCUCUCGUAGCAGCUGCAUCUCCAUCUUCGAUCUCGAUCUCGAUCUUCUCCUGUAACAGCUGCAUCUCCAGGUUCGAUCUCGAUCUUCUUCUAUAGCCGCUGCAUCUUCCAGCUUCAGUUUGCAAUUAUGUGAAAGGAAAAUGGGUUGUUGGACCAUAAGAAGCCGCUGUAUUAUGGGCAUGGUUGUAAGUAAUGACUGUCAAGUAUGUGGUCUUGCCGAAUGACACAACGCACGGAUUUUUCAUAUGAGAAGGUUUCAUGGCAGCCAAAAGAUUGUCAAAUGGAAGAAUUUGAAGGCUCUAAGUUCUUGAAAAGGUUUAAAAUGUUAAAAUUAAGCAGUUUCGACCAUGUGCAAGGUUUCUUUUUAUUACUAUCUUGAAUCUGGUGUGAUGUGACCAUAGCCCCCUAGUUUUCAAAAAUCUGAUCUAUAAUGGUUGUUUCUCCUAUAUAUUGAAUCCAUUAUGGGCUCAAGUUAACGAAUUUCUCAAGUUGUGGUGUUUUGGUUAGUACAUCUCUUCAUAGACCAUUAGUCUUUCUGCACUUGAUCUUGCUAAGGCUUGCAGCAGUUUCCAAAUAAGGGACACCUCAUAAGCUACCUUGCAUUUUAAUUUCUCUUGUCUAUUCAUCUAUUUGAAGAAUUUAAGGUUUUUAACCUUAUUUGAGGAAUUAAAUAAGCCAAGUUGGGAAAUUGGGUUUUCUGUACGAGGCAGAUUUUCUGAAUUGGUCAUAUACCAACUUUAAUUUCUAAUACAAUCUGGCUUGCAUGCAUUUUUAUUUCCAGCUAGAGGCUUGACCGUAUUUGAGAAAUCCUUGCAGCUCCAUGUGGGCAAUUUGUGUUUGAAAAUUUGCCUGAAUGAAUUGAGAAAUCUUGUGGAAGUUGCAUGUUUAGUGAGCUUAUAUGCCUCAACUUGAACUCGUAGACUAUACAAUUAUACAAUGCUCACGCUCAAUGGGUACCUGUGUAUUUCUGGGAUUCCUUUUUUGUUGCUAUAUCUCCCAAUCAAGAGUACGAUGGCUCCUUUUUUGAAGGCUAUGUGAAUCAACAAACCACAUUACCUUUGUUCUUUAGGCAAUAUGAAAGAGAUUUGGAGAACUGGUUUGAAAGGGAAAUAGAAGCAAACUUUUCUGAUUUUGAUUUGUGUAGUUUUUCUGUUUAUUAUUACUUACCAAUGCUCUUUGCUUUUCGUUUUAUGGGUCUCCAUGUAUGUUGUUGCAGCACAUUAGUUCUGUUGGGAUUGUAGGGAUAAGUUAGUUGGUUAGUAGCUUAUGAGUGAAGCAAAGAAUACUUGUAUAAAUAACAAACACCUCUCUCCCUCUGUAAUUCAUUCAUUGUUCAAGUAAUACAAUUUUUAGUCAUUCACUUUC
This is a long non-coding RNA of Malus domestica (apple), 1574 nucleotides long. RefSeq lists it as uncharacterized. The record is from RefSeq and is a predicted model, not a curated record. NCBI's taxonomy places the organism in Eukaryota, Viridiplantae, Streptophyta, Magnoliopsida, Rosales, Rosaceae.